GCCCAGCUAAUUUUUGUCUUUUUAGUAGAGGUGGGGUUUUACCAUGUUGGCCAGGCUGGUCUCGAACUCCUGAACUCAAGUGAUUCGUCCACCAUGGCCUCCCGAUGUGCUGGGAUUACAGGCAUGAGCCACUGCUCCCAGCCCAGUUUAUCUUAUUAACUAUCAGUUCGACGAUAACUGUGUGAAAUACAACUGGUAGAAUAGAGUCCCAGGUAUCAGAAAGUUUACUGCCUUUGAGGGCAAAUUCUUGUGAAUCUUUAAAGUAUCAUAUGCAAUUCAAAUAGGUUUAAAAUGUCAGUACAUAUAUGUAUUAAUGAAGACUGUGGUUGAUCAUGAAUAAUUAACAGAAGCUGAGGAUUUAAAUUUGUGGGGUUUUCUCUCUUUUUUUUUUGUUCUGUGACUCUAGCUAAAGGUGGUUAUUUAAGUAUUUUUAAAAAUUACAUGAAUAUCCAGGUGAACAAUGAUUUACAAAAAAAGAAAGAUGAAAGUGGAACUGUUUUUAUCCAAAACUUAAGAAAUUUCUAGGAUUGAAAUUUUUAAGAAGUUUGAAAUGAUUCCUCUUCAGUUUAGAGAAGAAGGCCGAGAUGGACGAAAAAAUGUGGUUCCUUGUGUUCUCUCUGUAAAUGGGGACCUAGACCGAGGCAUGCUGGCCUACCUCUAUGAUUCUUUCCAGCUGACAGAGAACUCCUUUACAAGAAAGAAAAAUCUUCAUAGAAAGGUACUUAAACUUCACCCUUGUUUAGCCCCUAUUAAGGUUGCUUUGGAUGUAGGAAGAGGCCCCACAUUGGAACUAAGACAGGUUUGUCAAGGGCUAUUUAAUGAGUUACUAGAAAAUGGGAUUUCUGUGUGGCCUGGUUAUUUGGAAACUAUGCAGUCCUCAUUGGAACAACUUUAUUCGAAGUAUGAUGAAAUGAGUAUUCUCUUC
This 925-nucleotide long non-coding RNA is filed under the name Homo sapiens (human). Its description in RNAcentral is "non-protein coding lnc-DDX5-2:3". The record is from RNAcentral. Lineage: Eukaryota; Metazoa; Chordata; Mammalia; Primates; Hominidae.